GAGCGCCGUAGCAAUACGGGAGUGGCAGACGGGUGAGUAACGCGUGGGAACAUACCCUUCGGUUCGGAAUAACUCAGGGAAACUUGAGCUAAUACCGGAUACGGCUGAGAGGCGAAAGAUUUAUCGCCGGAGGAUUGGCCCGCGUUCGAUUAGCUAGUUGGUGAGGUAACGGCUCACCAAGGCGACGAUCGAUAGCUGGUCUGAGAGGAUGAUCAGCCACAUUGGGACUGAGACACGGCCCAAACUCCUACGGGAGGCAGCAGUGGGGAAUAUUGGACAAUGGGCGCAAGCCUGAUCCAGCCAUGCCGCGUGAGUGAUGACGGCCUUAGGGUUGUAAAGCUCUUUCGCUCGGGACGAUAAUGACGGUACCGAGAUAAGAAGCCCCGGCUAACUUCGUG
This 398-nucleotide ribosomal RNA is filed under the name uncultured bacterium. RNAcentral's name for it is "bacterial SSU rRNA". It matches the Rfam family "Bacterial small subunit ribosomal RNA", at positions 64 to 507 of the family's 1533-position model. The record is from RNAcentral.